RNAcentral lists this long non-coding RNA (2615 nucleotides) under Oryctolagus cuniculus (rabbit). RNAcentral describes it as "lncRNA (ENSOCUG00000034850.1)". The record is from RNAcentral. Lineage: Eukaryota; Metazoa; Chordata; Mammalia; Lagomorpha; Leporidae.
AUGGAAAACAAGUCACUGUCUGCAACCUUUUCCACUCUAGUCCUCCUCUUGGGCUCCAAUCCAAUGACAAGUGUCCGUAUGAGGGAAACACAGAGGCGACACAGGGAAGGGAUGCGAUGGUCUGAAGCUGCAGGCAGAGGGGUCCGUGAUGCAGUCACAAGCCAAAGAAUGCUUGGAAGCUCCAGAAGUGGGAAAAGAAAGGGAGGAUCCUCUCCUACGGCUUCCAGAGGGAGCACAGCCCUACCAUUAACUUGAUUUCAGACUUCGGGUCCCUAAGAACUGUGAAGGAACAAAUAUUUCUUAUGUGAGCUGCUGAAGGUAUGGCCAUUCGUUGUGGUAGUUUUUUUUGAAAUGAAUACAGACCUUUUCAAAGAGAAAUAAGAAGUUAUUAAAAGAAGCUGUAAUGUUGCCAUGAAUGUGGAUGGGUGUGUGGAGAAGGACAGUGCAUGUCCCCACUGAAUACAGAGGAAUCUUUCUCCAUACUGUGCUCAUGUAUGCAAAGUAAAUGUACUUAAGGUAUUUCCUGAUUUGUAUCUGCUCUCAGUAACACCCUUACCUGCAGCUCCACUGCUGUCUCCAUGCCUUGUAUGUAGAGUGCAGGGACUGUUUCCAGAAGCUGAGUUUUUGCAAGAGAUGACUUCAACGAAACGCCACUGCAUUAUCAUUUUCAAAAUAUUAUUGUUAUAUUUUCCCUCUAGUAGAUUUUUGGACCAUCAGGAAGAGCAUUCAUUGAAAUCUGGGCCCCUCUGUCAUUCUUAGAAGGUGAAAGUUGCUUCUCCACCAGGAUGUUGAUGUGUUUUGCAGGAUUUACUAGGCCAGCAAGUACUGUAUGAGUCUAAUCUCUGGCCACUGGAAUUUCAACUUCCUUCUUCAAGGAAUCUUUCUUCUAACUGGCAUCUGGCCGUUUUCAGUUCACGUGUCCUUAACAUGGGGAUAGGCCUUUGAUAUGUCUCAUUUCUUGUGAGAAAGUUGUGGAUAGAGGAGCAACACCUGCUAAAGAGUAGCCACAGCUGGUGUUGGCACCUAAGGCAAAUCCUCCCCUGUGUCUCUUUCUCCCAGCCUUUUCGCAUCCAGAAUCCAGUUGCUGCAAUUCAAGAGAGACAGAUACCGGCAUGAACCACCACCAUUCUGUGACCUUUCAAGCUGGUCACAGCUUUGACAUUACUAGCUGGCCUCUCUUUCUUAGAGCCCAAUAUUUUCCUAUAAAGCACAACCUUUGAAAACAUAAUCAUCAAAUCUAAGACACCUUCACUUGUAAGGGGCAAUAUUCACUACACCACUGAAGCAGAGAUUACCAAAUAGACUCUGCAGUAAUGCUUCAGCGAGCAAUUCAUACACUUUUCCAUUAGGUCACUACAGCCUCUCAUUGCUUUCACAUUUUUUUCAUAAUCCAUUCUGCAGGAUUGGCCAACUUUUCUUUCCUUCCAUUACCUGCACUGGUGGUUAACAGGCAGAGUCUUAUUAUGUGGAUUGUGGUGGACUACAACUUUGCCUCAGAGCUUUAACCCUGCUUUAUAUAUCCACAGUUUCAGUUCAUUUUUGUUUGCUUUUGAGAAGUUGAGAGACGGAGAGAGAGAGAGAGAGAGAGAGAGAGAGAAAGAGAGAGAGAGAGAGAGCUUUCAUAUGCUGGUUCACUCCACAAAUGCCUGCCACAUCUAGGGCUGGGCCAGGCAAAAGCUGGGAGUCAGAGGAACUGAUGUGGUGUAGUGGGUUGAGCUACUGUCUGUGACAGUGGCAUCCCAAAAGGGUGCUGAUUUGAGCUCCAGCUACUCCACUUCCAAUCUAGAUCCCUGAUAAUGUGCCUAGGAAAGCAGUGGAAGAUUUUCCAAAUCCCUGGGCCCUUGUACCCACGUUGGAACCCCAGAUGAAGCUCCUGCCUCCUGGUUUUGGCCUGGCUUAGCCAUGGCCUUUGCAUCCAUUUCAGGGAAUGAACCAGCAGAUGGAAGAUUUGUUCAUUCUCUCUCUCUCUCUCUACAUAUAUAUAUACAUACAUAAAUACAUACAUAUGUAUGUAUGUAUAUAUAUAUAUAUAUAUCUGCCUUUCAAAAAAGCUGGGAGCCAGGAACUAAAUUCGAAUCUCCCACAUGGGUAGCAGUAUCUAUCACUGCUACCUCCCAGGGUCUGCACUGGCAGGAACUUAGUGUAAGGAGCUGGAUCUGGGUAUCAAACCCAUGUACUUGGAUGUGGGAUGUGGGAUAUGGGCAUCUUAACUGCUAAAGGCUUGUCACCAUGAUUUUUUAAAUAUAACUUUGCAAUUCUACUCACCAAAGAGGCAAAGAAUAUUUCUCCAGUCCUUGCCUUUAGUCAAGGAUUUCUUGACUAUAGUCUCAGUUACCCACAAAACACAUCUUAGUGUGCUAUGAAAGCUAUUUUGUGAUGGAUAAGUCAUAAUGAGUGCUUUCAGUGAGGGAAUUAUCUGGAAACAGUGAUAUGUCUGAUUCAGUCAAUGGGAAGGCCUCAAAACAAAGAAGAAAUUCCCCUGUGGACUUCGGAUUCUGUGCUAUAGAAUUCUACUUGCUCUUUCUGAUAGCUUGCCCUAUGGAUAGUCAGACUCUACAAUUGCAUAAGCAACUCCUUGCAAUAAAUAACUUAAAAUACCUUUCCUAUUGGUUCCA